UAGGGAAUCUUCGGCAAUGGACGAAAGUCUGACCGAGCAACGCCGCGUGAGUGAAGAAGGUUUUCGGAUCGUAAAACUCUGUUGUUAGAGAAGAACAAGGACGUUAGUAACUGAACGUCCCCUGACGGUAUCUAACCAGAAAGCCACGGCUAACUACGUGCCAGCAGCCGCGGUAAUACGUAGGUGGCAAGCGUUGUCCGGAUUUAUUGGGCGUAAAGCGAGCGCAGGCGGUUUCUUAAGUCUGAUGUGAAAGCCCCCGGCUCAACCGGGGAGGGUCAUUGGAAACUGGGAGACUUGAGUGCAGAAGAGGAGAGUGGAAUUCCAUGAGUAGCGGUGAGAUGCGUAGAUAUAUGGAGGAACACCAGUGGCGAAGGCGGCUCUCUGGUCUGUAACUGACGCUGAGGCUCGAAAGCGUGGGGAGCAAACAGG
RNAcentral lists this ribosomal RNA (429 nucleotides) under Gemmatimonadota bacterium. RNAcentral's name for it is "Gemmatimonadetes bacterium partial 16S ribosomal RNA". It matches the Rfam family "Bacterial small subunit ribosomal RNA", at positions 355 to 776 of the family's 1533-position model. The record is from RNAcentral. Lineage: Bacteria; Pseudomonadati; Gemmatimonadota.